UUCACUUCAUUAGAGAGUAGG
RNAcentral lists this non-coding RNA (21 nucleotides) under Caenorhabditis elegans. The record is from RNAcentral. Lineage: Eukaryota; Metazoa; Nematoda; Chromadorea; Rhabditida; Rhabditidae.